This 253-nucleotide ribosomal RNA is filed under the name uncultured bacterium. RNAcentral's name for it is "partial 16S ribosomal RNA". It matches the Rfam family "Bacterial small subunit ribosomal RNA", at positions 524 to 776 of the family's 1533-position model. The record is from RNAcentral.
UACGAAGGGGGCUAGCGUUGCUCGGAAUCACUGGGCGUAAAGGGUGCGUAGGCGGGUUUUUAAGUCAGGGGUGAAAUCCUGGAGCUCAACUCCAGAACUGCCUUUGAUACUGAAGAUCUUGAGUCCGGGAGAGGUGAGUGGAACUGCGAGUGUAGAGGUGAAAUUCGUAGAUAUUGGGAAGAACACCGGUGGCGGAGGCGGCGCUCUGGACCGAGACUGACGCUGAGGCGCGAAAGCGUGGGGAGCAAACAGG